GAUGAAGAACGCAGCGAAAUGCGAUACGUAAUGUGAAUUGCAAAUUCAGUGAAUCAUCGAGUCUUUGAACGCACAUUGCGCCCCCUGGUAUUCCGGGGGGCAUGCCUGUCCGAGCGUCAUUGCUGCCCUCAAGCACGGCUUGUGUGUUGGGCCCCGUCCUCCGAUCCCGGGGGACGGGCCCGAAAGGCAGCGGCGGCACCGCGUCCGGUCCUCGAGCGUAUGGGGCUUUGUCACCCGCUCUGUAGGCCCGGCCGGCGCUUGCCGAUCAACCCAAAUUUUUAUCCAGGUUGACCUCGGAUCAGGUAGGGAUACCCGCUGAACUUAAGCAUAUCAUAAGCGGAGGA
RNAcentral lists this unclassified non-coding RNA (344 nucleotides) under soil metagenome. Its description in RNAcentral is "partial contains 5.8S ribosomal RNA, internal transcribed spacer 2, and large subunit ribosomal RNA". The stretch from base 1 to 119 matches the Rfam family "5.8S ribosomal RNA", at positions 35 to 154 of the family's 154-position model. The record is from RNAcentral.